GGUAGCACAAGAGAGCUUGCUCUCUGGGUGACGAGCGGCGGACGGGUGAGUAAUGUCUGGGAAACUGCCUGAUGGAGGGGGAUAACUACUGGAAACGGUAGCUAAUACCGCAUGACGUCUUCGGACCAAAGUGGGGGACCUUCGGGCCUCACGCCAUCAGAUGUGCCCAGAUGGGAUUAGCUAGUAGGUGGGGUAAUGGCUCACCUAGGCGACGAUCUCUAGCUGGUCUGAGAGGAUGACCAGCCACACUGGAACUGAGACACGGUCCAGACUCCUACGGGAGGCAGCAGUGGGGAAUAUUGCACAAUGGGCGCAAGCCUGAUGCAGCCAUGCCGCGUGUAUGAAGAAGGCCUUCGGGUUGUAAAGUACUUUCAGCGAGGAGGAAGGCAUUAAGGUUAAUAACCUUAGUGAUUGACGUUACUCGCAGAAGAAGCACCGGCUAACUCCGUGCCAGCAGCCGCGGUAAUACGGAGGGUGCAAGCGUUAAUCGGAAUUACUGGGCGUAAAGCGCACGCAGGCGGUUUGUUAAGUCAGAUGUGA
RNAcentral lists this ribosomal RNA (540 nucleotides) under uncultured Hafnia sp. RNAcentral's name for it is "bacterial SSU rRNA". It matches the Rfam family "Bacterial small subunit ribosomal RNA", at positions 68 to 597 of the family's 1533-position model. The record is from RNAcentral. Lineage: Bacteria; Pseudomonadati; Pseudomonadota; Gammaproteobacteria; Enterobacterales; Hafniaceae.